GUUUUUUUGUUUAUGAGGAGCCACAGUUAAGAUACUUUACUUAUUUGGAUUUAUAUUGAGAUUUUCAGAUUUUAAGAUUAGAAGAUUUCCAGAUGUAUUUCACAUGGCCAGGGUUAGCAUGAAGUGGUCGAAGAUUUGCCUUUCAUUGGUGAAUUUAAGAACAGAUGUCCAGCCCGCUUUAAUGAGGUGUCUGUGGAAUUCAACAGGAUUACAACGAUCCUUUUGGGGUCCAAAUUCAUGAGUCAGCUUGAUCAUUUCUCAACUCAGCUCAUCAGUGUUUUCAGAAAGAAAGGAGGAGCAGCAGGACAGAAGAUCAACAACAUCCUGUCAGUUAUGGAUUAGGAUGUCCCCAUCAAAAAAAGACAUGAAUGCAUCCUAACAGCCCUCGUUGUUUAUGUGAAUGAAGACCACUCAAACCUCGUGAAGGAGUACAAAUUACUUAAGGAUGUUGAACAUGAUGAAGCCCAAACCUCGAUGCGCAAUACCACCCUAGAAAUCUACGUCAUCAAACCUGAAGGGGCACAUGUCACAGACCCUUACCAAGAUGUUGGCAUCAUCGUUGAAGGCGUCAAAAUACUUGAAAACCUAAACAAUAUUGCCAAUGUGUGUUCUAUGAUGCUUGGUCUAAUUUAUGCAUUAAACCUGGCCUACCCACAAGACUUCAGAUACACAUUUGAAACAUUUCAAAAGCUGUCAAACAAGGUCCAUGUCCUGAAAAAUAAACUUCUUUUGUAAGUGUACUUGAGGUAAGGUUCAAGAGGUGCUACUUAUGUUUCCUCAAUGAUGUUACACUGUUGGCUUGUUACAGUACAUUUGUUCCAGGACUGACCAUGUUACACUUUUUUCAUUAUUGAUCUUGUUUUAAAGAAAUGCUUUAUUUUUCCCCAAUUUAAAGGAGUCACAGACUGCAAGAGAGA
This is a long non-coding RNA of Tachysurus vachellii, 917 nucleotides long. RefSeq lists it as uncharacterized. Lineage: Eukaryota; Metazoa; Chordata; Actinopteri; Siluriformes; Bagridae. The record is from RefSeq and is a predicted model, not a curated record. The transcript is spliced from 5 exons.